RNAcentral lists this ribosomal RNA (399 nucleotides) under uncultured bacterium. RNAcentral's name for it is "bacterial SSU rRNA". It matches the Rfam family "Bacterial small subunit ribosomal RNA", at positions 95 to 507 of the family's 1533-position model. The record is from RNAcentral.
GUGGCGAACGGGUGAGUACACGUGGGUGAUCUGCCCCAGACUUCGGGAUAAGCCUGGGAAACUGGGUCUAAUACCGGAUAUGACCUGCUCCUGCAUGGGGGUUGGUGGAAAAGCUUUUGCGGUUUGGGAUGGGCCCGCGGCCUAUCAGCUUGUUGGUGGGGGUAAUGGGCCUACCAAGGCGACGACGGGUAGCCGACCUGAGAGGGUGAUCGGCCACACUGGGACUGAGACACGGCCCAGACUCCUACGGGAGGCAGCAGUGGGGAAUAUGCACAAUGGGCGCAAGCCUGAUGCAGCGACGCCGCGUGAGGGAUGACGGCCUUCGGGUUGUAAACCUCUUUCGCCAGGGGCGAAGCGCAAGUGACGGUACCUGGAGAAGAAGCACCGGCCAACUACGUG